Long non-coding RNA from Ictalurus punctatus (channel catfish), 5952 nucleotides. The record is from Ensembl. Lineage: Eukaryota; Metazoa; Chordata; Actinopteri; Siluriformes; Ictaluridae.
CCCUGCGAUGGAUAGGCAACCCCGUCCAGGGUCGGGGGUUCGAUUCCCACCGUGGCCCUGUGUGUGUGGAGUUUCCGUGCUGCGAGGGUUUCCUCCGGGUACUCCGGUUUCCUCCUCCAGUCCAAACACACGCAUGGUAGGCUGAUUGUCGUGUCCAAAGUGUCCGUAUUGUAUGAAUGGAUGUGUGAGUGUGUAUGUGAUUGUGCCCUGAUGUAUUGGCACCCUGUCCAGGGUGUACCCCGCCUUGUGCCCCAUGCUCCCUGGGAUAGACUCCAGGUUCCCCGUGACCCUGAAAAGCAUAAAGCGGUAUAGAAGAUGGAUGGAUGGAUGGAUGGUAACUACUUAGACAGAGACUUGUACCGUAUAAUAGCCAUUCCACAUUAAUGAAUUUAAAAGCUAUGUGCGAGGAUUUACCGUAUAUGGUGGAUGAGGACAUGUUUAUUUAGUGUCAGCGCUUUGUAACACUCACAGGUACAUUCCACACUCCUAUCACUAACCACAUUUCCUUUUUAAUUUCACUGCAGUGACUGAAUUCAAAAAGUUCCUACAACCUUACCAUACGUUCAUACAUACAGCGACUGGAGACCAUUCAUUUUCAGUGAGAGCUAGCGACUUCUGGCGACCUGAGUGACAGCAACCAUUGGUGACUAGACGUGGGCGUGUCCAGCGAAAGUUGAGAAAAGUUCAACUUUAUGCAAAUUUGGUGAAGCGACUUGCUGCAGCGACUACCAAUGGGAGCGAAGACAGUAGAGCUCAUGUGAGUCGUGAUCCGCCAUGCUGCCUGCGAGUCCAAAUUUUGUUUCAUGGACCCAGAGAGUCUGGCACUCGCGCUUUUCGCCGCUGAUAGAUGACCGCAAAGGCAAAGAGCUCACACUGCUUCUCCUUCAUCUCGUAGGAUAUGAUGCACACUGGUGAAUUUUAUAUCCAAACGCUUUUUCCCUCCAGAAUGUUUUAUUUUAGCAGCAGGAAAAUGCGAAUGCUAGUUGCAACACACACUGGUAAAUGUUACUAUGGCAACCAGUAGUAGAAACGCUCACUGGUGACUUCAUAAAACAAUGACUGGCGACUGAACGUGUGAGCGUACCUUAAGUCAUGAAAAUAACUAAAUGAUUAUGCUUUAUGAUGAAUAACUAAAUAAAAAACUCUUAUGAUAUUAUUAUGACACUAUAGUUAGUUGCUAUAUGACUGAAAGACUCCCCAAAAGGGUUUUUAGACUGGUGACCUUCAGACCCUGACCUCGUGAACUAGCAUGAGCAUGUUUCUGAUCGGGACUACAAAGCACUUCUGUAAGUCACUCUGGAUAAGAGCGUCUGCCAAAUAUCAUAAAUAUAAACAGAAAACUGUAGAAUGAGACAUUCUCGUUCAGGUGAAGGAACAACCAAAGAAUGGAAGUUAAGUACUUUUCCAAGACUGAAACGUAGCCACACAUCCCGCGAUAAAUUACACAGAUAUUAAUACUGCAGGAUUUCCUUUCAAAGUUUGUGAGUUUCAUAUGUGUUCGCUAAAGGAAUGACAUAAAGGAAAUCCAUAACAGACCACAAAAACACAUCAGUAUCAAUAAAUUGAUAAAUAAACACAGUCUGAAUUUACAGACAGACAGACAGACAGACAGAUAGAUAGAUCGAUAGACAGAUCAAUAGAUAGAUAGACAGAUAGUUGAUAGAUAGAUAGGCAGAUAGUUAGACAAACAGACAGAUAGACAGACAGAUAGACAAAUAGAUAGACAGAUAGAUAGAGAUAGAUAGAUAGAUAGAUAGAUAGAUAGAUAGAUAGAUAGAUAGAUAGAUAGGCAGACAGUUAUACAAACAGACAGAUAGACAGAUAGAUAGAUAGAUAGAUAGAUAGAUAGAUAGAUAGUUAGACAAACAGACAGAUAGACAGGUAGAUAGAUAGACAGAUAGAUAGAUAGGCAGAUAGUUAGACAGACAGACAGAUAUAUAGAUAGAUGGAUAGAUAGAUAGUUAGACAAACAGACAGAUAGAUAGAUAGAUAGACAGAUAGGCAGAUAGAUCAAUAGAGAGAUAGAUAGGCAGAUAGAGAGAUAGAUAGACAGACAGAUCGAUAGAUAGACAGAUAGGCAGAUAGUUAUACACAUAGACAGAUAGAUGGAUAGAUAGAUAGAUAGAUAGAUAGAUAGAUAGAUAGAUAGAUAUAUAGAUAGAUAGAUAGAAGAAGCCUAUAUUUGCCAUUUAUACAUUACAGCACAGUGAAAUUCUUUUCUUUGCUUACCCCAGCAUGUCAGGAAGUUGGGGUCAGAGUGCAGACUCAGCUAUGAUACAGCGCCCCCUGGAGCAGAGAGGGUUAAGGGCCUUGCUCAAGGGCAAAACAGUGGCAGAGUGGCAGUGCUGGGGCCUCCGACCUUCUGAUCAGUAACCCAGAGCCUUAUCCGUUGAGCCACCACUACCCUUUAAUAGAUUGAUAGAUAGAUGGACAGACAGAUAGACAGACAGACAGACAGACAGACAGAUAGGUAGGUAGGUAGAUUGACUGAUUUCAGGAACAGGACUGGGGAAGCCUACUACACCGUAUUUACCCUUCUUUACCUUGUGGAAUCCCUGAGCUUUAUUAGAUUUGAGGCUUUCAUAUUGUUGUCAAGUUAUUAAAGGUCAUCCAAUGACCUAAAAUCUCCAUCCAUCCCACCAUCUCAGUCUCUCCAUUUCCCUGUCUGAGUCUCUCAGUAUGACUAAGUUUUGCUCUUAUUUCCCUUUUCAUUAUGAUUCAAAGUCAGUGCGCUUUUUAGUCUGCUGUGCUGGUGGGGGGCGUCUGUACUCUCUGUGGGAACAGGCAGCCAUUUUGGCUGCAUACAGCGAACCUGAUGGCGUAAAUACGGCUGCCAUCAAUCAAUCCCUGGAGCCCUGCAGCGACACCAUCCCUAAUCUCUCCCUCACUCUUGCAUUCACUCUCUGAGUACCAUUUAAAGGCACAUGGCUCUGAAACAAAGCACCAGUGACCUAAAUGACAGUGAUCAGAAAGUCUGUACACCUAUAAUAGAGCUAGCAUGAAUUAUUCAGCAAAAUAUGAAUAACUUCUUCACCGGUCAGGGUGAACCAUUUAUUCACAAUGGACAGGUUCUGCAGUAUAACCCGUACGGGUUAUACGGGUCUCGGCAUGCUUCUUUUUUUUUUUUUUUUUUUUUUAAUUUCUACACUUAACCAGCGAUGAUUACGUAGAUCAUGAUUUUGAUAUAACCGUGAGAGAUGGGAAAAUAAUGGAAGGAGGAGAUGGGGAACACAUGGCUUGCAGUAUGAUCCAAUGUUCUCUGGAAUAAGUGAAACCGCCAGUUUAGAUGAGGAAACAGCUGUGAGUCUGUAGGUAGCUUAAUCAAAAUGAGCAUGCAAACCAAGUGUUCAGACAGUACCUGUCAGAGUAGUGCUGUUUCUCACAUCGUGCACACUAUCACUGUCACGACUCUCACGCUACACUGUCCUUAAACUUUGCCUAUUUGGGAUGUAAGUGCUUUACACGAAUACUGAUUUUAGGUGCAGUGACGGGGAUUGUGAGGGUGUUUGUUAGAACUCUACUUUAUAACAAAGACCUCGUAAUUUGCUGCUUAUGUGAGAUUGAAACUUGUAUUAAGAAGUCCUCACCACUGGGUUUGUGUACUAAAAAAAAGAGAGUACCAAAUAGGCAAAUAUUUGUGAUACGUUUCAAUAAAUACCUUAACCUAGUAGGUGCAAGGUCAGGUUUUACAUCAAUACUCUAAAGAAUAUUGGAGGGAUUUAUUUAAAGAACAGGGAUCUAUCAGAGUCUGAUAGUUUGUGGAAGUGUAUCAUGGCACGAACAAAGGAGAUUUCUGAGGAAGUUGUUGACGCUCAUCAGGCUGGAAAAGGUCACAAAACCAUCUCUAAUGAGUUUGGACUCCACCGAUCUACAGACAGACAUAUUGUGUACAAAAGGAGGAGAUUCAAGAUCAUCGUUUUCCUCCACAGGAGUGAAGACCAUCAAAGAUCACUCCAAGAGCAAGACGUGUAAUAGUCUGCGAGGUCAUAAAGGAACCCAGGGUAACUUCUAAGCAACUAAAGGCCUCUCUCUAAUUGGCUAAUGGUAAUGUUCAUGAGUCCACCAUCAGGAGAACACUGAACAACGAUGGUGUGCAUGGCAGGGCUGCAAGGAGAAAGCCACUGCACUUCAAAAAGAACACUGCUGCCCAUCUAAAGUAUACUAAAGGUCACGUGGAGAAGCCAGAAGGCUAAUGGAAAUAGGUUUUGUGGACGGAUGAAAAGCUUUGGUUGUUGUCGUGUUCAUGUGUUGCUCCUCAUAGCCUGCAUGUUUUUGCCUUGCUUCCAUUGUUUCCAUUUAUGGUUCUUAUUCUCACAGUUUUGGUUGUUUGUUUUGCGCUUCAUACAAUAAAAAUCCGCACUUGCUUCUGCCACCUCUGCACAUACCUGACAGUAUAAUCGAAACCCUUGCACUGUACUUAAAUUUUGGAAGCUCUGGCUAGACAAACACAUUCAAAAGAUAAACCUCAUCAGUAAAUUUCACAUUCCCUACCACCGGCAUUCUUUUAAACCUGAAUACUUAGCACAGACUGCACCAGGAUCUGGAGAAAAAUUAGUUCUGUGCUAUUUUAAACAGGACAAGAAUUACACUCAACAUGUCUAACCGCACUCCAGAUUUGAGGAUGAGGUUUAACAUGCAACAAUGUUUAAAUGGUACUGAGUUUGUCAUGACAAGCAUCAUGACUGAAGAAUUGUGGGUAUACAUCAGUAGGGAAAAUUACAUGUACUAUCUGGAAUUACAGCUCAACACAAAAUGGGUUUUCCAAAUGACAAAGGUCUUAAUAUUCCUGAAAUGGCAUGAGCGCUGAUGUGACAAGCAGCUUAGCUGUAAAUGGAAAUGAUUUAUGCUAGGUCUUCAUUAGUUUGGGUGGUGUGGUUAGAGAUUAAGAAUUGUCUCUUGAUUUUUUACAUUUAACUGAAGAUUCAUCUUCAUUGAUUCGCAGAAAUGUCUGGCAUAUUUAAUAAUCAAUAAAGUAUGUUUAAAACAGCAAAAAACUUUUCUUUUUUUUUUUUUUAAACAUGUUCCAACUUGUCCAACAGUGAAUACUGCAGGAAUGUCUGGUCCACUUGGGGGCGCACGGUGGCUUAGUGGUUAGCACGUUCACCUCACAUGUCCAGGGUCGGAGGUUCGAGUCCCACCACGCAUGUUCUCCCCGUGCUCCGGUUUCCUCCCCCAGUCCAAAGACAUGCAUGGGAGGUUGAUUGGUGUGUCUAAAGUGUCUGUAGUGUAUGAAUGGGUGUGUGAGUGUGUAUGUGAUUGUGCACCCUGUCCAGGGUGUACCCUGCCUUGUGCCCCAUGCUCCCUGGGAUAGACUCCAGGUUCCCCGUGACCCUGAAAAGGAUAAAGCGGUAUAAAAGAUGGAUUGGUCCACUUGGGCUACUCAAGGUCCUAGGAGUUCAUUGUCACAUUUCCACCCCAAACGCUGCUAGAUAUAAUAUUUUGAAACAAACGCAGUGACACAGAAAGCCUGUGGAUGGUUUAUUGACCAUUUUUGAACGGCGUGUGAGCGGAAAGGAGGCCAGCUGAAACUUAAGAAGUGAGGUGAGCAGACAGGAGCUGAAUGCUAAUUGAAAUGAAAAAGGUCAGAGCUGAAAGGCAUAACCCAUCCCCACAGCACCUCCCUUUGCUGGCUGGAGCUGUGGAGGUUCUCAUCAUCUACUAUUACGACUCCCUGACAGCGGUGAAUUUCUCCAUACUGGAAAUCAAUACAGGUGGAAUGUAAAAAGAGGUCUUCAACGAUCUUUAGCAUUCCAGACUCGUCUGACUGAAAGAUAUUGUUACCUCUUACACGCAAGUUAUCAAUCUAUAAACCCACAAAUUUGAUCAUAUGACCACAUAAGGUGAGGGGUGUUAUUACUUCUAGAGAGAGAUAGAGAGAGAGAGAGAUCUAAAAGGGAAAUCUAAAUUAGUGGCAAUUAUGUGCAGCGUUUAACUCCUCAACAAAAGUACUUU